RNAcentral lists this ribosomal RNA (743 nucleotides) under uncultured Bacteroidota bacterium. RNAcentral describes it as "bacterial SSU rRNA". It matches the Rfam family "Bacterial small subunit ribosomal RNA", at positions 574 to 1319 of the family's 1533-position model. Lineage: Bacteria; Pseudomonadati; Bacteroidota. The record is from RNAcentral.
GGCUGUGAUGUAAGUCAGUGGUGAAAGCCCGGGGCUUAACUCCGGGAUUGCCAUUGAAACUGCACCACUUGAGUAUAGUCGAGGACGGCGGAAUGAGUUAUGUAGCGGUGAAAUGCAUAGAUAUAACUCAGAACACCGAUUGCGGAGGCAGCUGUCUAGGCUAAUACUGACGCUGAUUCACGAAAGCGUGGGGAUCAAACAGGAUUAGAUACCCUGGUAAUCCACGCUGUAAACGAUGAUCACUCGUUGUUGGUUAUGUAAUAAUCAGCGAUCAAGCGAAAGCGAUAAGUGAUCCACCUGGGGAGUACGUCGGCAACGAUGAAACUCAAAGGAAUUGACGGGGGCCCGCACAAGCGGAGGAACAUGUGGUUUAAUUCGAUGAUACGCGAGGAACCUUACCUGGGCUUAAAUGUAGAGUGUAUGAGAGGGAAACCUUUCUUUCCUACGGGACUCUUUACAAGGUGCUGCAUGGUUGUCGUCAGCUCGUGCCGUGAGGUGUCGGGUUAAGUCCCAUAACGAGCGCAACCCCUAUUGCUAGUUACCAGCGCGUUAUGGCGGGGACUCUAGCGAGACUGCCUGCGCAAGCAGUGAGGAAGGUGGGGACGACGUCAAGUCAUCAUGGCCCUUACGCCUAGGGCUGCACACGUGCUACAAUGGCCGGUACAACGAGCAGCCACUCCGCAAGGAGGCGCGAAUCUCUGAAAGCCGGUCCCAGUUCGGAUUGGAGUCUGCAACCCGACUCC